Molecule: long non-coding RNA, 3782 nt
Organism: Mus musculus (house mouse)
Lineage: Eukaryota; Metazoa; Chordata; Mammalia; Rodentia; Muridae
Product: predicted gene, 33852
Exons: 2
Source: RefSeq, a predicted model, not a curated record
AAAUUUUCAGACACGUACACAUGUAUUUUAUCAUGUUCAGCCCUCUCUUCCCUCUCUGAUAUUUCUUGGAUCCUCCAUUCAUGCCAUUCUUAACUAAAACCGCUUCUAAUUCUAUUUAUGUAUCGUUUUUAAAACUGAUUAAAUCCAACUGGUAUUAUCCAGUAUUUAUCUUUGCAACAAGUCCUGCGCCAUUCUGUCUGUGACUGAUCCAUGUUUGUCAUUGUCAACAGGAAGCCAUAUCUUGAAAACAAAGACGAAUUUGGAGAAGUCAUAGAUUUCUCUCAGCCAGCAUCAUUCACUGGCCUUCCGGAAGAGCUUGUGGAGUGAGGAGAGGAACCUCAAAGUGAGCCCACCAAGCAAUAUUGAACAAGAAGACUGGGGACGCGUCUUUGACUUAGUAUGGGAAGAAAAGUCAUGAAGCUAAUUGUAUUCAAAGCACUGAGAUUCUUAUUCAGUUUUUAGUGCAGUAAACAUCAGUUGAUAUCUACUGAAGGCCAUAAUGAAAUGAAGACCAUACAGAAAAUGAAAGACAGCUCUUGUUCUGUGGAGAGCAAAGGCUUGUGCUUACUACAGUCAAGUGACUGUACAGGGGGAACAUGCAAGAGGAACGAGGAAGCUUUUAGAUUAAACAUUUGAGAGUGACCAGCAAUGCAGAUCCUGUAUUAUUCUGGGAAAGAAGAAGAAUGAAAAAAAAAUUUUUAAUGAGCCAUGUGAGAAACUUUGGAUACUUAACUAUAUCUAAGAACAAGUAAUAGCAGAGACAAAGUUGACAGCAGAAACCAAGGUCAAUAAAAUGCUAUGACAAUUUGCCUAGAUAGUCCUAAAUGUCCUCAUGAUGAUCAAAUGACAUUGAUACAUGUCAAGUAUGGAAAUAAUGUAAUCAAAGUGCUCUUCUAAAGUGACUGCUCAAAUCUUAUUUUGGAGAAUGGAUUGAAAUUGUAUUCCAUUACAUUAACAUUUACAUUGAGAUACCUACAGGCAUGGUAACCUGCAGGAUGCAUAAGAAAGACUUUCACUGCGUGAGCCUGAGAUAAUAUGUAUGAAGAGAAUAAACUAACAUAUUGCAGGUAGGAAGGCAGCCAUGCAAUAACAGUAGGCGUAUAUAAGCCUUAUUUUAUGUCAUCAGUAUAUCAAUUAUGCAGAGUAUUUACUGGAACUGUCUUAUAGAAGAAAAAUGAGAGUAUGAAAGUUAUGUAAUUUAUUAAAGACUCAUAGCUAGCAAGUUACAGAAUCUAAAAUCAGAGUUCAAUUGCUCUGAAUUUUAAAUCACGGAACCCUGAACUCCCACUCUAUGUAGCCCUUUGUCUCUAGGCUAUUUAUUUGGUAUCUGAGUUCCUACUUAGCAAAGAUGCGGACAAAAUACAGAGACAUGAAUACAAGUUCCAUCUAAACGUUCAACUCUCUGACUCCACAGCUUUUCAGUCAUUGGGCAGCAUAGAGGACCAGAGUUAAUCCAGCAGGACUGACAGCAGGAGGCAAAAGAAGUCAUGUGGCCCUGCAGGUCUCUGAGAUUACUUGAUUUCCAUUCCUAUUAACUGGCAGUCUGAGCCACAUUAUUUGGAAUAAUUAACUAUGUGUCUCUAAGGAAUAUGUCCUUUCCUCCUCUCUUGCCUUUCUGAUAGAAGAAUGAGUCUAGGAGAAAGGACAAAAUAUCUCCAUGGAAAUGAACCUUCUGUCUCAUUUCCAACAAUGAGGCCAUCUUUAAUUUUUUCCUGCUCAUCCUCCUACACCUUGAUAAUGUCAUCGUUUUUAUACCAUUUCUGAGGAUAAGGAGCUCUGAGGCACCUGCAUUAAGCAAUUAUCCUAGGGAUCAGCAAGCCCAAGCCCGUGAUAUUUACUUAAAAUUCUCAAUUUGGUGGAUAUGUCAAGGUCUUUAUAAACAAUACUGACUUUUUCCACGUUAGCAAAUUAGUACCGUGUCCAGAAUAAUCAUCCCCACAAGGAGAAUGACAUGUUCUUAUAUCCCAUCUUCUUCACUGGUGACAAGUGCCAUUUCAAGCAAUUUGUGAAAUAAAAUUUUAAGAUUGCAUGGGAAUAACGCCUAAGUUGCAAAACAGAAAAAAAUGAUUGCAUGAAGCUAAAAGAGAAAACAGAGGGUCUAUCCUGAGGGUAGGCAAUACAGAGCUAUCUUAGUCUUUGACAGAUUUUUGACUUACAAAAAGCAUUUUACAAGACAGUAACAUGCAAAAAGCACUUUUGAAAGCUUCGUGAUCACAGAGACGGCUCAUGUGGAGUCCUAUCAAAUGAGAUGCAGACAAUAAAAUCUAGGAACCAAAAAUUUGAGUAUGCAUAUUACAAGAGUUUUUCUUAAUAAACAAAAGAUACCAAUGUAACACUUUAAUCUAAUAAAAAGAGAACUUUCCCACAAAUUCCACUCUUAGUUUUAUUUUGUUUUAUAUCCAGAAUAGUUAAAAGCAGCAAUUUAAACAGCAAUAUUAAACCAAUAUUUACAAUAACAUUAUUCACAAUAGCUAAAAUAGUAAAAGCAAACAACUACCUAUCUCUAGAUAAAAACAUAGAAAUAUCAUAUAAAAUGCAAUGGCUUAGCACACAGACAUAAAAAGGAAAACAACUUUCUUUCACAUACAACAAUAUACAUAGACCUUGAAAAUAGUAUAACACUGAAAUAAAUCAAACACAGAGCAAAUGCUGUGUGUUUCCACUAGAAGAGGCAAGUCCACAGAGAGACAGUAGAGCUGAUGCUAAGCUGGGGCAGGAGAAAGAAUCACUAGUUAUUGGGCUCGGAAUUUUUACUGGGGAUGAUGAAAAAUUGACAUAUAGAUAAUAAUGGUGCUUACACACAAUUGUGAUUGUAUCUAAAGCCACUCAAGUGUACAGUUUCAAGUGGUUACAACAUACUUUAUCAUAGUAUCCUCUAGAAAGAAGUCUAUCUAUUCUUAAACUAAAAAUGCUUAGAGUCUUCAUACUUUGGUGACAGAGAGUCCAGGACUCUGAACCACAAUAAAACAUCAUUUUCAAACAUCUUUUAACUAGUGGCAUCCUGAUGAAUUUUCAAGAAAUGAUGAACCUCUUUCUGGGGAAAGCAGUAUGAAGAAAACAUAAAAACACUGUUGUAGGAAAUUUGGGAGCAAAUUUCAUGAUAUCCAGAAGCCCCCUCACUGAGUUUGAUUUGGAGAUCAGCCAUGUUGCAGAGACACCAGAUGUGAGGAGUCCUAGUCACCUGCUCCUGCCGCUGAGAAUUUCCCCACCAGAACAGGCACGCACCAUCUCAGACCAGGAGCCAAAAUAAAGCUGCCGCCCUUGUGUUAUUCCUAUUAGAUGCUUUAUCACAGAGGCAAGAAAAGUAACAACAGAGCAACAGCCAAAGGAAGAGAAUUCUCACUGACAUGUGAUGUUCAAGUUUAUCUGAUGUCCUCAAGAAACAAACAAACAAACAAACAAAAAAUAAAAUCACAGAAGAAAGGGACACCCCUCCCAAAGUGCAUCCAUGAGGUCUGAGCUUUGCUAUGCUGAGUCUUGCAGCCCACAUCAGGCAUGGGGAAGGACAAUAAAGUCAGUGUAAACGAUAAGGCAUCAAACACUGUGGCUCAUCUCAUUGCAAUACAGUCUGUUUAAUAAGCUAUUGCAUUCAUUUUUAGGGCUAUUUUGAGACUUCCCUGCACACAGCUGUCUUCUCCCUGCCCCCCAAGGAAAACUUAAUGAUAUGCUUUCUGUGUGAAAAGAGGUUGUUUUUUUUUUUUUUUUAAAUCCGGUUAUAAUUUGAAAAGGAACAACUAAAAUUACACAUGUUGAAAUAAUAAAGGAAACGCACUCCCCUUUAU